Molecule: ribosomal RNA, 117 nt
Filed under: Euphaea formosa
Lineage: Eukaryota; Metazoa; Arthropoda; Insecta; Odonata; Euphaeidae
Description: partial 16S ribosomal RNA
Source: RNAcentral
AAGAAUUUAAAGGUCGAACAGACCUAUACCGCUGAGCUACUGCACCCAGUUAUAAUCUUAAUCCAACAUCGAGGUCGCAAUCCUUCUUGUAAAUUUGAACUCCAAAAGAAGAUUACG